UAGGGAAUCUUCCGCAAUGGACGCAAGUCUGACGGAGCAACGCCGCGUGAGUGAAGAAGGAUUUCGGUUCGUAAAACUCUGUUGUUAGAGAAGAACAGCGCAUAGAGUAACUGUUAUGCGUGUGACGGUAUCUAACUAGAAAGCCACGGCUAACUACGUGCCAGCAGCCGCGGUAAUACGUAGGUUGCAAGCGUUGUCCGGACUUUUUGGGCGUAAAGCGAGCGCAGGCGGUCAAUUAAGUCUGAUGUGAAAGCCCCCGGCUCAGCCGGGGAGGGUCAUGAGAAACUGGUUGACUUGAGUGCAGAAGAGGAGAGUGGAAGUCCAUGGGUAGCGGUGAAAUGCGUAGAUAUAUGGAGGAACACCAGUGGCGAAGGCGACUCUCUGGUCAGUAACUGACGCUGAGGCUCGAAAGCGUGGGUAGCAAACAGG
RNAcentral lists this ribosomal RNA (429 nucleotides) under Bacteroidota bacterium. RNAcentral describes it as "Bacteroidetes bacterium partial 16S ribosomal RNA". It matches the Rfam family "Bacterial small subunit ribosomal RNA", at positions 355 to 776 of the family's 1533-position model. Lineage: Bacteria; Pseudomonadati; Bacteroidota. The record is from RNAcentral.